Molecule: non-coding RNA, 110 nt
Organism: Cryptococcus amylolentus CBS 6039
Lineage: Eukaryota; Fungi; Basidiomycota; Tremellomycetes; Tremellales; Cryptococcaceae
Source: Rfam
AGUUUUAUGGCUCAGUUGGUUAGAGUGUCCGCUUCACAAAUCACCACCGGAUUUUAACCCGGUUUGAGGAGAGACGCGGAAGGUCCAGGGUUCGACCCCCUGUAAAACUA